This 327-nucleotide long non-coding RNA is filed under the name Rattus norvegicus (Norway rat). Its description in RNAcentral is "long non-coding RNA NONRATT031915". Lineage: Eukaryota; Metazoa; Chordata; Mammalia; Rodentia; Muridae. The record is from RNAcentral.
GGUUCAUGUUACCAAAUAGAAUGGAAAACAAGAGACACAACCACAAUGAGAUAAGAGGAUGGGGGACCUCACAGAAGAUGGUGAAAUGGCAUUGGGCAGUUCCCCUAUAUUAUCUCAAGAGACAAGAAAAGAACUACAGCUAUUUGAAUCCAGACUAAAAGAAGCAUUUGUGUAUCAUGGUUUCUUAAAAUACCAUUAAACUUACUUAUUUUCCCCACUUAAUUGUUUCCUGCAGGUAUUAUAGCACAAAAGGAUAAACCUUGGGAAUGGAUCUAUUUACACCAUAAGGGCCAUAAAAUACUAACUGCUUGCUUUACUCUUCUUGCU